AUUCGAUGCUACCUAUCGUCAGGCUGAAGAAGAAGGUAAAUUUGAUGAAAGCUAUUUGUUUCAGGAAGAACCUGUUGAUCCUGAACACGAGGAGAAUGUCAGGAAGUUCAAAGCAGAAAAUGAAGCGAGGAAGCGUAAGCUUCGUGAUUAUCAGAAACUUCUGGAAGACAAGUUGAUCACAGAGGAACAAAUCAAGAUUGAAAAGCAGAAAAUCUAUGAUGCUGCGAUCAAGCAGAAGAAUCUUGAAAUUAAAAGAAAAGAAGGAAAAGGCUGG
This 274-nucleotide long non-coding RNA is filed under the name Daucus carota (carrot). Its description in RNAcentral is "long non-coding RNA (DCAR_LNC006214)". The record is from RNAcentral. Lineage: Eukaryota; Viridiplantae; Streptophyta; Magnoliopsida; Apiales; Apiaceae.